CUCCAUGGUGGAAAUUUCAGAGGAGCCCCUGGGAACCGUGGCGGAUAUAAUAGGAGGGACAACAUGCCACAGAGAGGUGGUGGUGGCGGCGGAAGUGGUGGAAUCGGCUAUCCAUACCCUCGUGCCCCUGUUUUUCCUGGCUGUGGUAGUUAUUCAAACAGAGGGAACUACAACAGAGGUGGAAUGCCCAACAGAGGGAACUACAGCCAGAACUUCAGAGGACGAGGAAACAAUCGUGGCUACAAAAAUCAAUCUCAGGGCUACAACCAGUGGCAGCAGGGUCAAUUCUGGGGUCGGAAGCCAUGGAGUCAGCAUUAUCCCCAAGGAUAUUAU
RNAcentral lists this long non-coding RNA (333 nucleotides) under Homo sapiens (human). RNAcentral's name for it is "non-protein coding lnc-LRFN5-10:1". The record is from RNAcentral. Lineage: Eukaryota; Metazoa; Chordata; Mammalia; Primates; Hominidae.